RNAcentral lists this ribosomal RNA (442 nucleotides) under uncultured bacterium. RNAcentral's name for it is "partial 16S ribosomal RNA". It matches the Rfam family "Bacterial small subunit ribosomal RNA", at positions 338 to 795 of the family's 1533-position model. The record is from RNAcentral.
CCUACGGGCGGCAGCAGUGGGGAAUAUUGGGCAAUGGGCGAAAGCCUGACCCAGCAACGCCGCGUGAAGGAAGAAGGCUUUCGGGUUGUAAACUUCUUUUGACAGGGAAGAGCAGAAGACGGUACCUGUCGAAAUAGCCAAGGCUAACUACGUGCCAGCAGCCGCGGUAAUACGUAGGUGGCAAGGGUUGUCCGGAUUUACUGGGGGUAAAGGGCGGGGAGCGGGGCUGCGAAGUCAGGUGUGAAAUCCGGGGGCUCAACCCCCGACCUGCAUUUGAAACUGUUGGUCUUGAGUAUCGGAGAGGCAGGCGGAAUUCCGGGUGUAGCGGUGAAAUGCGUAGAUAUUAGGAGGAACACCAGUGGCGAAGGCGGCCUGCUGGACGGCAACUGACGGUGAGGCGCGAAAGCGUGGGGAGCAAACAGGAUUAGAUACCCUAGUAGUC